RNAcentral lists this ribosomal RNA (498 nucleotides) under uncultured bacterium. RNAcentral describes it as "partial 16S ribosomal RNA". It matches the Rfam family "Bacterial small subunit ribosomal RNA", at positions 28 to 506 of the family's 1533-position model. The record is from RNAcentral.
GACGAACGCUGGCGGCGUGCCUAAUACAUGCCAGUCGAGCGGACUUUCAAGAAGCUUGCUUUUUGAAAGUUAGCGGCGGACGGGUGAGUAACACGUGGGCAACCUGCCUGCAAGACGGGGAUAACUCCGGGAAACCGGGGCUAAUACCGGAUAAUAUCUUCCUUCGCAUGAAGGAAGGUUGAAAGGCGGCGCAAGCUGCCGCUUGCAGAUGGGCCCGCGGCGCAUUAGCUAGUUGGUGAGGUAACGGCUCACCAAGGCGACGAUGCGUAGCCGACCUGAGAGGGUGAUCGGCCACACUGGGACUGAGACACGGCCCAGACUCCUACGGGAGGCAGCAGUAGGGAAUCUUCCGCAAUGGACGAAAGUCUGACGGAGCAACGCCGCGUGAGCGAAGAAGGUCUUCGGAUCGUAAAGCUCUGUUGUCAGGGAAGAACAAGUACCGUUCGAACAGGGCGGUACCUUGACGGUACCUGACCAGAAAGCCACGGCUAACUACGU